Penaeus indicus is the source of this 487-nucleotide long non-coding RNA. RefSeq lists it as uncharacterized. NCBI's taxonomy places the organism in Eukaryota, Metazoa, Arthropoda, Malacostraca, Decapoda, Penaeidae. The record is from RefSeq and is a predicted model, not a curated record. The transcript has 3 exons.
GCCUCUUCAAAUUCACUCCUCUGUUCCCACACAGAUGAAUUUCCAACGCGCGGUCCUGAUACUCGUGGUGUUGUCAUUGUUGUCAGCGUUGGUAGUGGCAGCACCUAAUGAUCUCAGGCCGAGGAAGAGGUUCGGUUUCAGAAGUAGGUUUAACCGCAGGAAAUCCCUCGGCAUCUGGGCUCCGGACAUUGACAACCGCUUCUGGCAUGGCUAUGACAUAGACGGCUAUACCAGGAACGGAUGAGAGAGUCGAUCUUGGCGACUGAAACGCCUUGGAUGCUGUUGUUUCAUCUGUGACGCGUCGUUUCAUCUCAUGCAUCAUCUUCAGUCAAGUUCCUAGUCAUCAUUUCGUAUCGUAAAUGUCAGAAAGUCGGCGUACAUUGAAAAAAAGGCAGUUAGAUUUAAGUAAUGUUAUUAAGUGUAUGGAACAGAGUCGAGAGAUGUAAAGAAAGAUAUCAUGGUUCCUAUAUAUAUAUAUAUAUAUAUA